AUUGAAAUGGCCCGUGCAUGAUUCUGCACUAAACAGUUUUUUUUUUUUUUGUCUAUUUUUGUGAAUUCUUAUCCCUGUGGUGUUUUCUGUGUUUUCUCUUUUUAAUCUUUCCAGAAGAUAUUAAAAUGCCUGAAACUUCCCCUUACUUUCCCUUUAAGUAAAUCUCCGGUUGAACAAAUCUUUAACGUGUUGCUUUGCAGCAUAGCAAUGUGUGUAAGCACACACUUCUUCAUGAGUAAAUGUUUCCCUGAGGUAGGAUCUCAGGAUGCACUGACUGUUUAUACCAGCAGCUCCCCAGGCAUAGGAUCUGGCGUGUUGCAAGAGUAGCUAUGCUGCUGCGGCAGUGCUUGCAGCAGCAAGCUGUGUGGUCUGCCCUCCUGGCCCCAGCAGCCCGUCUGCAGAACUGGCAGAAGUGAGCCCAGGAGACCUCAAAUCCCAGAUUCUGGCAUUUGGCUGUAGAGGUACAAGGCUGCUGAGACAGAAGAAUUCUGCUGGGUAUCAGGAUGAGAGGAAGAAUAUGCAGCUAAAAAAGAUGCCGGCACCUACAGCGGUCUCAUGGAGUGCCACAAAGCAAAGCCUCACCGUGCUUGUGGGAUUCAGAACCACAGUUGGAAGGGGACUAUGGCCUCUCAGUCAUAGGCAGGACCUAAAUGCAGCUGCUUGCUGAAGUGGCAGCUUCCAGGAGGAUGUGAGGCCAACAGGCUCCUGGAAAAACGGUCUGGGGAGGUGGGAGCCUUGGUGCCUUUCUUGUCAUAAAGUUUUUGAACACUGAACAUGCAGAUUCACGGAAAUCGAGUCUGUUUUGGGGAAAGGGUUGGCUCUCACAAGUUGCUUGACUUUGAAAAGUAUUGUGGAAAUAAAGUUUUGGAACUGUCCAAAUGUUUUGGUCGUUUCUCACUGAAUGGCUUUCCCAUUCAA
This is a long non-coding RNA of Gallus gallus (chicken), 918 nucleotides long. The record is from Ensembl. Lineage: Eukaryota; Metazoa; Chordata; Aves; Galliformes; Phasianidae.